GGGGUUGUGGCUUAGUGGUAGAGCACUUGCCUAGCAUGUGCAAGGCCUUGGGUUUGAUCCCCAACACCA
Molecule: transfer RNA, 69 nt
Filed under: Ictidomys tridecemlineatus (thirteen-lined ground squirrel)
Lineage: Eukaryota; Metazoa; Chordata; Mammalia; Rodentia; Sciuridae
Description: Spermophilus tridecemlineatus (thirteen-lined ground squirrel) tRNA
Rfam family: tRNA
About the family: Transfer RNA (tRNA) molecules are approximately 80 nucleotides in length.
Source: Rfam by way of RNAcentral